Molecule: transfer RNA, 81 nt
Organism: Rasamsonia emersonii CBS 393.64
Lineage: Eukaryota; Fungi; Ascomycota; Eurotiomycetes; Eurotiales; Trichocomaceae
Rfam family: tRNA
About the family: Transfer RNA (tRNA) molecules are approximately 80 nucleotides in length. Their secondary structure includes four short double-helical elements and three loops (D, anti-codon, and T loops).
Source: Rfam
GACACUAUGCCCGAGUGGUUAAGGGGAGAGAUUAGAAAUCUCUUGGCUUCGGCCGCACAGGUUCGAAUCCUGUUGGUGUCG